ACGUCCAUACCAUGCUGAAUAUACCGGUUCUCGUUAGAUCACCGAAGUCAAGCAUCAUUGGGCGCGGUCAGUACUUGGAUGGGUGACACACCUGGGAGCACCGCGAGCCGUU
This 112-nucleotide ribosomal RNA is filed under the name Caerostris extrusa. The record is from RNAcentral. Lineage: Eukaryota; Metazoa; Arthropoda; Arachnida; Araneae; Araneidae.